GAUUCCUUUUUUUCAAAAUUUUUCAAAUUUCAAAUUUUUGAAAAGUUUCAAGAAGAAAUAUUCAAUUGCACAGUAUUGUGCAAUAGAUUUGUUAGAUCUUUGACCACAUUAAUUUUGUGACAAAAACCCAUAUUAUGUAAAAAAUUUGAUCACAAUCCAAUUUCAGACAGUAUCAAGCUUGAAUAUUGUGACCAAAUUUGCCCCCACUGUUCAGGGUU
Molecule: long non-coding RNA, 218 nt
Filed under: Mytilus galloprovincialis (Mediterranean mussel)
Lineage: Eukaryota; Metazoa; Mollusca; Bivalvia; Mytilida; Mytilidae
Source: RNAcentral